Molecule: small nucleolar RNA, 129 nt
Organism: Astyanax mexicanus (Mexican tetra)
Lineage: Eukaryota; Metazoa; Chordata; Actinopteri; Characiformes; Acestrorhamphidae
Gene: SNORA63
Rfam family: Small nucleolar RNA SNORA63
About the family: E3 belongs to the H/ACA class of snoRNAs and is involved in the processing of eukaryotic pre-rRNA and has regions of complementarity to 18S rRNA.
Source: Ensembl
GUGCAGGAUAGUUACGGAUCAGCUGAUGUGGUGCUGGUUUGUCGUUCCCCCUGCAAAAAUUAAAAUGUUUCUUUACUAUCCCUGGCUGUCUACAUCCCACGACUUUCAGGGACGCUUGGAUUCAAACAU